CCUACGGGAGGCAGCAGUGAGGAAUAUUGGUCAAUGGUCGGGAGACUGAACCAGCCAAGCCGCGUGAGGGAGGAAGGUACAGAGUAUCGUAAACCUCUUUUGUCAGGGAACAAAGACUGGGACGCGUCCCCGGAUGAGUGUACCUGAAGAAAAAGCAUCGGCUAACUCCGUGCCAGCAGCCGCGGUAAUACGGAGGAUGCGAGCGUUAUACGGAUUUAUUGGGUUUAAAGGGUGCGCAGGCGGUCUGUUAAGUCAGCGGGCAAAGCCCGGGGCUCAACCCCGGCCCGCCGUUGAAACUGGCAGUCUCGAGUUGGAGAGAAGUAUGCGGAAUGCGCGGUGUAGCGGUGAAAUGCAUAGAUAUCGCGCAGAACUCCGAUUGCGAAGGCAGCAUGCCGGCUCCACACUGACGCUGAGGCACGAAAGCGUGGGUAUCGAACAGGAUUAGAUACCCUUGUAGUC
RNAcentral lists this ribosomal RNA (459 nucleotides) under uncultured bacterium. RNAcentral describes it as "partial 16S ribosomal RNA". It matches the Rfam family "Bacterial small subunit ribosomal RNA", at positions 338 to 795 of the family's 1533-position model. The record is from RNAcentral.